This 497-nucleotide ribosomal RNA is filed under the name uncultured bacterium. RNAcentral's name for it is "partial 16S ribosomal RNA". It matches the Rfam family "Bacterial small subunit ribosomal RNA", at positions 28 to 507 of the family's 1533-position model. The record is from RNAcentral.
GAUGAACGCUGGCGGCGUGCCUAAUACAUGCAAGUCGAGCGAACGGACGAGAAGCUUGCUUCUCUGAUGUUAGCGGCGGACGGGUGAGUAACACGUGGAUAACCUACCUAUAAGACUGGGAUAACUUCGGGAAACCGGAGCUAAUACCGGAUAAUAUUUUGAACCGCAUGGUUCAAAAGUGAAAGACGGUCUUGCUGUCACUUAUAGAUGGAUCCGCGCUGCAUUAGCUAGUUGGUAAGGUAACGGCUUACCAAGGCAACGAUGCAUAGCCGACCUGAGAGGGGGAUCGGCCACACUGGAACUGAGACACGGUCCAGACUCCUACGGGAGGCAGCAGUAGGGAAUCUUCCGCAAUGGGCGAAAGCCUGACGGAGCAACGCCGCGUGAGUGAUGAAGGUCCUCGGAUCGUAAAAAUCUGUUAUUAGGGAAGAACAUAUGUGUAAGUAACUGUGCACAUCUUGACGGUACCUAAUCAGAAAGCCACGGCUAACUACGUG